UACAGAGGGUGCGAGCGUUAAUCGGAAUUACUGGGCGUAAAGGGCGCGUAGGCGGGUUUAUAAGUUAUGUGUGAAAUCUCUGGGCUUAACCUGGGAACUGCACAUAAUACUGUAAGUCUAGAGUAGAGUAGAGGAAAGUGGAAUUUCCGGUGUAGCGGUGAAAUGCGUAGAUAUCGGAAGGAACACCAGUGGCGAAGGCGGCUUUCUGGACUCAUACUGACGCUGAGGCGCGAAAGCGUGGGGAGCAAACAGG
RNAcentral lists this ribosomal RNA (253 nucleotides) under uncultured bacterium. Its description in RNAcentral is "partial 16S ribosomal RNA". It matches the Rfam family "Bacterial small subunit ribosomal RNA", at positions 524 to 776 of the family's 1533-position model. The record is from RNAcentral.